Molecule: long non-coding RNA, 883 nt
Organism: Homo sapiens (human)
Lineage: Eukaryota; Metazoa; Chordata; Mammalia; Primates; Hominidae
Exons: 3
Source: RefSeq, a predicted model, not a curated record
UUUAGGGCAACAGAAGAAAUUGGAAAAGACAUUUGGAAAUACAAAGAGAUUUUCGAGGAUCCUGAAAUCAGGGCACAGGUGCAGCUGCCAGCCCUGCCUCCUGUUCAUGCUGGCUCUUGAGUGUCCCUGAUGGAAGAUGUUUAAGGCCAGUGCUAUGAAGAAAUUAAUAAGUUCAAAUACAGUAUCUGAGGGGGAUUGGUUCCAGAACCUCCUGCAGAUACCCAAAUCCAGAAUAGUGCAGAAAGGUGUAUACUAAACAACAUUUGGAAGAAGAAAAACCUGGCAUCAUUCUGAGAAAGUAUUUUCUCUAACUCUGAGCAUGCAGUUAAUUCUAUGGAUAAACUGAAAGGAACAGGAUGGAUAUUGGACAGCUUCCCUGCUUUUCUAGAAUCAAAUGCAAAACUAUUGUUUUAAUUCAAAUCAAUUAUCAAACUGUGCCACAUUAUUCUUCUUAUUUUUAAUCCAACGUUUAAGGAGAACCUUCUGUGAGCAAGAUCAUUCUCUGGGCAUAAGGUAUAUUCAAAGAUAACUAAGAUAGUCUCUCUCUCUCUCUCAGAGAGCUCGUAAUGUGUACAGGAAAUAAAUUACAUUUGUUGGCAAAAACCUAUAGCAUCCCAUGGAAUAAAAUGUGACACAGGCAAAUUGCAAAACUCACAGAGUUCCUGGUAGAAAGACAAGUGUUAAUGUUAAAGCUAAGAGUAUGAGCUCUAGAUUGAAAAUGGCUGCGUUCAAAUACUAACUCGGCCAACAUGUUGUUUGACUUUGGGGAAACUAUUUAACUUCUCUUGCUUUAAUUUCCUUACCUGUAAAAUUUGGGAAUAACAGUUUUACCUCAAUGGACUGGUGUGAGGAUUAAAGGAGAUGGUAAACGUAAAACUCUUCA